UAACCUACCUCAUAUGGGGGAUAACAGUCGGAAACGACUGCUAAUACCGCAUAGGACAUGGAAUCACAUGAUUCUGUGAGGAAAGGUGGCGCAAGCUAUCGCUAAUAGAUGGACCCGCUGUGCAUUAGCUAGUUGGUAGGGUAACGGCCUACCAAGGCGAUGAUGCAUAGCCGACCUGAGAGGGUGACCGGCCGCAUUGGGACUGAGAUACGGCCCAG
This 218-nucleotide ribosomal RNA is filed under the name uncultured Abiotrophia sp. RNAcentral describes it as "partial 16S ribosomal RNA". It matches the Rfam family "Bacterial small subunit ribosomal RNA", at positions 122 to 334 of the family's 1533-position model. Lineage: Bacteria; Bacillati; Bacillota; Bacilli; Lactobacillales; Aerococcaceae. The record is from RNAcentral.